GUCUUGGUAGCUCGGCGGUAGAGCGGUUGACAGUUCACGUCGUGAUCCGUUGAUGAGCGUUGGUUCAAAUCCAAUUCGAGAUU
Molecule: non-coding RNA, 83 nt
Organism: Amborella trichopoda
Lineage: Eukaryota; Viridiplantae; Streptophyta; Magnoliopsida; Amborellales; Amborellaceae
Source: Rfam